This 1015-nucleotide ribosomal RNA is filed under the name Aegista aubryana. RNAcentral's name for it is "16S ribosomal RNA". The record is from RNAcentral. Lineage: Eukaryota; Metazoa; Mollusca; Gastropoda; Stylommatophora; Camaenidae.
AUAUAAAUAACAUAUAUAUAUAUAUAUGUGUGUGUAUAGCAUUUGAUGUAUAAUUUAAGAAGUGGGUUUACCUUUUGCAUAAUGGGUUAACUAUAAGUGUAAUAAAUCUUUUAUCACGAAAUAGUUUGAGUUAAAUAUAUUUUGAUAUUAGUCUAGGAACAAAUGUAGUAUAAUUUGGGGGAAAAAAAUAUUUAGGGGUGAAAAGCUAACAAAAACUAUGAUAACUUGUUAUUUAAUAAAAGUAUUAAGUACAGAGACAAUUGUUAAGUGUUUAGGCUUAACAAUAAUAUAAAAUACUAUUUUCUUUAUUUUUUUAAGGUUUAAUAAUCAGCAUUUAGUAAAUUAUAAUAUUAUUCUAUCUUUCUUAUAUAUUAUAUUAAAUUACUAUAAACUUUUACUUUAGUAGAUAAUGUUAAUAUAAGUAUUAUUAUUAGAUUCUGAGAAUGAACUCGGCAAAAAGCUCUCUCGACUGUUUAUCAAAAACAUAACUAUAUGUAUACAUAUAUAGCAAUUUCUGCUCAAUGAUAUAUAUAUAUAUUAAAUAGCCGCAGUACUCUGACUGUGCAAAGGUAGCAUAAUCAAUUGGCCUAUAAUUGAGGUCUGGAAUGAAAGAAAGUUUGGGGGGGGACUGUAUAUAAAGAACAAUUAAAAAUUACUUAACAGGUGAAAAAACCUGUAAUAUAAUUAAUAGACGAGAAGACCCUGGAAAUUUUUAUGAGAUAAUAGGUCUAUUAGAUGUUUUUGUUGGGGCGACAGAAUAACAGAUAACUUAUUUAUAGCAAUUUGCCGUUUUUAAAUAGAAUAAAUAAAUUACUCCAGGGAUAACAGCAUAAUAUUUAAAAGUUUGUGACCUCGAUGUUGGACUAGGAACUUAUAGUUUAGAAGACUAUUAAAGAUGCUCUGUUCGAGCAUUUUCUCCUACAUGAUCUGAGUUCAGACCGGCGCAAGCCAGGUCAGUUUCUAUCUUUAAAAUUUUUAGGAUUAGUACGAAAGGAAUUUUCUAAAUACACUUUGU